AGAGACAGCAGUCGCCGCGGUAAUACGGAGGAUCCAAGCGUUAUCCGGAAUCAUUGGGUUUAAAGGGUCCGUAGGCGGUCUUGUAAGUCAGUGGUGAAAGCCCAUCGCUCAACGGUGGAACGGCCAUUGAUACUGCAGGACUUGAAUUAUUGGGAAGUAACUAGAAUAUGUAGUGUAGCGGUGAAAUGCUUAGAGAUUACAUGGAAUACCAAUUGCGAAGGCAGGUUACUACCAAUUGAUUGACGCUGAUGGACGAAAGCGUGGGUAGCGAACAGGAUUAGAUACCCGCGUAGUCCCUGUCUCUUAUAC
RNAcentral lists this ribosomal RNA (309 nucleotides) under uncultured bacterium. RNAcentral's name for it is "partial 16S ribosomal RNA". It matches the Rfam family "Bacterial small subunit ribosomal RNA", at positions 504 to 807 of the family's 1533-position model. The record is from RNAcentral.